UCUCCCAAUGAAUCCAGAGACUGUUCUCCAGUCUUCCUCUCAAUCCAGAGACUGUUCCCCAGUCUUCCUCUCAAUCCAGAGACUGUCCUUCAAUUCUCCCAAUGAAUCCAGAGACUUUCCCCCAGCCUUCCUCUCAAUCCAGAGAUUGCCACUCCAAACUUCUUCUCCGUGAGCUGCUGUCCCUCCAAACUUCCAAAAUCCUGUUACUGCCCCUUUAAUGGUACUUUAUAUCCACCUAUUACCCUUUUCACUUUUGAUCUGUAUCCCUACAAUCCGGCCCUUGUUGCCCUUCCAGUUAUCCUUUGGUUGUUACUCUCUCCGGAUCCUCCCUUACCUGACUGUUACCCCCAGCCCUGCCCUAUACCUG
This is a non-coding RNA of Pelobates cultripes (western spadefoot toad), 367 nucleotides long. The record is from the annotation of a GenBank genome assembly. NCBI's taxonomy places the organism in Eukaryota, Metazoa, Chordata, Amphibia, Anura, Pelobatidae.